RNAcentral lists this ribosomal RNA (567 nucleotides) under uncultured bacterium. RNAcentral's name for it is "partial 16S ribosomal RNA". It matches the Rfam family "Bacterial small subunit ribosomal RNA", at positions 355 to 914 of the family's 1533-position model. The record is from RNAcentral.
UGGGGAAUUUUGGACAAUGGGCGAAAGCCUGAUCCAGCAAUGCCGCGUGUGUGAAGAAGGCCUUCGGGUUGUAAAGCACUUUUGUCCGGAAAGAAAUCCUCUGGGUUAAUACCUCGGGGGGAUGACGGUACCGGAAGAAUAAGCACCGGCUAACUACGUGCCAGCAGCCGCGGUAAUACGUAGGGUGCAAGCGUUAAUCGGAAUUACUGGGCGUAAAGCGUGCGCAGGCGGUUUUGUAAGACGGAUGUGAAAUCCCCGGGCUUAACCUGGGAACUGCAUUCGUGACUGCAAGGCUAGAGUAUGGCAGAGGGGGGUAGAAUUCCACGUGUAGCAGUGAAAUGCGUAGAGAUGUGGAGGAAUACCGAUGGCGAAGGCAGCCCCCUGGGCCAAUACUGACGCUCAUGCACGAAAGCGUGGGGAGCAAACAGGAUUAGAUACCCUGGUAGUCCACGCCCUAAAACGAUGUCAACUAGUUGUUGGGGAUUCAUUUCCUUAGUAACGUAGCUAACGCGUGAAGUUGACCGCCUGGGGAGUACGGUCGCAAGAUUAAAACUUAAAUGAAUUGAC